AGUCAUGCUACUGCUCGCCCCGGCCAGGAGACACUGGGAAUAAAACUCAGACUUCUCCCCGAGUCCUGCAAGUUUUGGAAACUUAGUUCCUGACAGUGCUCGGGGAGAAGUCUGAGUUUUAUUCCCAGUGUCUCCUGGCCGGGGCGAGCAGUAGCAUGACU
This 161-nucleotide microRNA precursor is filed under the name Marmota monax (woodchuck). Lineage: Eukaryota; Metazoa; Chordata; Mammalia; Rodentia; Sciuridae. The record is from RNAcentral.